GAUGAACGCUGGCGGCGUGCCUAAUACAUGCAAGUCGAGCGAACAGACGAGGAUCUUGCUCCUCUGACGUUAGCGGCGGACGGGUGAGUCACACGUGGAUAACCUCCCUAUAAGACGGGUAUAACUUCGGGAAACCGGAGCUUAUCCCGUAUAAUAUAUUGAACCGCAGUGUUCAAUAGUGAAAGACGGUUUUGCUGUCACUUAUAGAUGGAUCCGGGCCGCAUUAGCUAGUUGGUAAGGUAACGGCUUACCAAGGCAACGAUGCGUAGACGACUGGAGAGAGGGAUAGGCCGCCUGAGAGGUGAGACAGGGUCAAUACUCCUACGGGAGGGAGCAGUAGGGAACCGUACGCAGUAGGCGAGAGCAUUACGGAGCAACGCGACGUGAGAGAUAAAGGUGUCGGGAGCGUAAAACCCUGUUAUUAGGUAAGAACAAAUGUGUAAGUAAAUAUGCACGGCUUGACGGUAACUAAUCAGAAAGCCACGGCUAACUACGUG
This 497-nucleotide ribosomal RNA is filed under the name uncultured bacterium. Its description in RNAcentral is "partial 16S ribosomal RNA". It matches the Rfam family "Bacterial small subunit ribosomal RNA", at positions 28 to 507 of the family's 1533-position model. The record is from RNAcentral.